GGGGGUGAUCGGUUUCGACUGGAGUGAUAGUUCCAGAAGAAGCGGGUCGAGAAUCCAGAGUCAUCUCGUUAAUGUCCUCUGGAAACCAAUAAGUGCCGAUACCAAUCGCACUGACUUCGCUCUCGCUGCCUGAGCAGUGACCGAAGGGUCAGCCCGGAUGUAGCCUUCCGUCCGGAUCCUGGCCUCAUUUAGAGGGCUUGCUUGUCGAUCUGCGUUCGAGGGAUCGACAGGGACUUUUCUCGAACUGGGCUUGGCUGUGACUUGCUGACGUGAGCACAGGAGCCGAGUAGACCGCAAUGUCAGCUGCACCCGGAGAAGAUCUGGUUCGUUACGUCAGGACGCGGGUUCAAUUCCCGCCACCUCCACCA
RNAcentral lists this transfer-messenger RNA (368 nucleotides) under Propionibacterium freudenreichii. RNAcentral describes it as "Standard tmRNA". It matches the Rfam family "transfer-messenger RNA". Rfam says of the family: Bacterial tmRNA, also known as 10Sa RNA or SsrA, is named for its dual tRNA and mRNA-like properties. Its role is to liberate the mRNA from a stalled ribosome. RNAcentral also lists the same sequence under 3 other names. Lineage: Bacteria; Bacillati; Actinomycetota; Actinomycetes; Propionibacteriales; Propionibacteriaceae. The record is from RNAcentral.